CCCUUAGAUGUUCUGGGCCGCACGCGCGCUACACUGACGAAGUCAGCGAGCAUCUCCUACGCCGAAAGGUGCGGGGAAUCUUGUGAAACUUUGUCGUGCUGGGGAUUGAUUUUUGAAAUUCUUGAUCAUCAACGAGGAAUUCCUAGUAAGCGCAAGUCAGCAGCUUGCGUUGAUUACGUCCCUGCCCUUUGUACACACCGCCCGUCGCUACUACCGAUUGAAUGGUUUAGUGAGAUUUUUGGACUGGAACUCUCUUGUUCAGCAAUGGACGAGAGGGACUCUGGGAAGCUAUUCUAACUGUAUCAUUUAGAGGAAGUAAAAGUCGUAACA
This 330-nucleotide ribosomal RNA is filed under the name uncultured eukaryote. Its description in RNAcentral is "partial 18S ribosomal RNA". It matches the Rfam family "Eukaryotic small subunit ribosomal RNA", at positions 1470 to 1796 of the family's 1831-position model. The record is from RNAcentral.